Long non-coding RNA from Brassica napus (rape), 454 nucleotides. RefSeq lists it as uncharacterized. NCBI's taxonomy places the organism in Eukaryota, Viridiplantae, Streptophyta, Magnoliopsida, Brassicales, Brassicaceae. The transcript is spliced from 2 exons. The record is from RefSeq and is a predicted model, not a curated record.
AAGAAGAAACAGUACUUUGCUUUGUCUUUCUUCUCAUAUCUCUCUCUAUGUACAUUUGUACAGGUACUUUAUUGUUCUUCUUAUAAUUAAUUUCAAAUCCUUAGAUGGGCCUUCGAAAAUGUUUGGGCCGUUUAGAAAAAACAGGGCCUUAUCGCCGAAACCCUAGCUAUAUAAGAUGGAGUGGAGCGCUUGACGAACAACACAGCGGAGGAGAAUCUGACUUUCGGCGACUUGACGAUGAGGGCGAAGUGGAAGAAGAAGCGCAUGAGGAGACUGAAGAGGAAGCGCAGGAAGAUGAGACAGCGAUCCAAGUAGUCUCUGUGUCUCCAUGCCUAUCCAUAAAUCUCUGAACCUUUAUGUUUUGUGGUUUUUACGUUUAAGUUGGAACAAUCGUUUGUAGAACAUGUUUCGAUCACUCCCUUUUAUUUAUCUACACGGAGCAGAGAUUUAUCUU